RNAcentral lists this ribosomal RNA (496 nucleotides) under uncultured bacterium. Its description in RNAcentral is "partial 16S ribosomal RNA". It matches the Rfam family "Bacterial small subunit ribosomal RNA", at positions 28 to 506 of the family's 1533-position model. The record is from RNAcentral.
GACGAACGCUGGCGGCGUGCCUAAUACAUGCAAGUAGAACGCUGAAGAGAGGAGCUUGCUCUUCUUGGAUGAGUUGCGAACGGGUGAGUAACGCGUAGGUAACCUGCCUUGUAGCGGGGGAUAACUAUUGGAAACGAUAGCUAAUACCGCAUAACAAUGGAUGACACAUGUCAUUUAUUUGAAAGGGGCAAUUGUUCCACUACAAGAUGGACCUGCGUUGUAUUAGCUAGUAGGUGAGGUAAUGGCUCACCUAGGCGACGAUACAUAGCCGACCUGAGAGGGUGAUCGGCCACACUGGGACUGAGACACGGCCCAGACUCCUACGGGAGGCAGCAGUAGGGAAUCUUCGGCAAUGGGGGCAACCCUGACCGAGCAACGCCGCGUGAGUGAAGAAGGUGUUCGGAUCGUAAAGCUCUGUUGUAAGUCAAGAACGGGUGUGAGAGUGGAAAGUUCACACUGUGACGGUAGCUUACCAGAAAGGGACGGCUAACUACGU